Nematostella vectensis (starlet sea anemone) is the source of this 520-nucleotide long non-coding RNA. RefSeq lists it as uncharacterized. The record is from RefSeq and is a predicted model, not a curated record. NCBI's taxonomy places the organism in Eukaryota, Metazoa, Cnidaria, Anthozoa, Actiniaria, Edwardsiidae. The transcript is spliced from 2 exons.
GUCUGCAAAACCGUGAAGAAAGACAGCGUUUGAGUAUUACGGGCGAGAUAAAGAUGAUCAAGUUCUUAAUUAUAAUGUGUCUGUACUGCGAUUUUGGAUCGGACAAGAUAUACACAACUCUGCAAAUAUAAUUUAAAAUCUCUUCAAUCAUUGAUGGAAGUUCUGCCGUAUAUAUGCGAUCAAACAGACGUUCUCAUCGAAUGUUGUUUGUUUGUAAAUGGAACGAUAAAGAAUGAUGGCGUACCAGUGAAUGGACGACAACGGACGGCAACUCGCACGUUUGUUCCUCCAGAAGACUGCAUUGCAAAUCACAAUAAUAUCAGUAACUAGAAUUGGUAUGCUAUAACCCAGGUUAAGCUCGUUUUACCAUCUUUGUUAUUUUCCCAGUGAUGGAGGAAUUCGCACACACGGAUUUGCUCACUUCGCCAUUGUGGUCAGGUUCCUAGUUAUUAGGGGGUGUGACGUCACGAUCAAAACAUAGCAACAGACUGGAAAAAGAAAAUAAAAAAUAUUGACAGGA